ACAGUUGAAAUAACUCCUUCGUGGAGGCUGGCUACAUUUUCACAACGUCUGGUCCCAAGCUAGAUCUUCGGGAAAAGGGAUCAAGGAAAUGACUAUUCCUCCAAAUAAAAUGCUGCACAUCUUUCAUGGAUUCUGGUCCACCUCGUCCUCACGCGGGGAUGCAGACUGACAAGCUUCCACCAUGAAGGGUUGUCAUUUGCCAUAGCAGGGAGAGGAAAAUGGAGCAAAUCAGUCACCAGCUCGUCAUACAGAAGAGUGUCCCACGUCAUAUCUGCUGAUAUGUUAUGGCCAAAGUACAUGACUAUCUCCAAGGAGCUGAGAGGUGAAAUUCGGACAUUUGUCUGGACGGAGUAGAACCAAGAGAGUCGUAAACAUCCUGUGGACUACACACCGUUUAACAAGAUGCAACAGUAUUCUGGGAGUGUCUAUGGAUUUCUACUGCCUGAGAAGAUAAAGCCCCAAGUCUUCACAUUAA
Molecule: long non-coding RNA, 475 nt
Filed under: Homo sapiens (human)
Lineage: Eukaryota; Metazoa; Chordata; Mammalia; Primates; Hominidae
Description: non-protein coding LINC00670:9
Source: RNAcentral